Molecule: long non-coding RNA, 634 nt
Organism: Gasterosteus aculeatus aculeatus (three-spined stickleback)
Lineage: Eukaryota; Metazoa; Chordata; Actinopteri; Perciformes; Gasterosteidae
Source: Ensembl
AAAUAAAAUAUGUAACAAAAUGAAUAGUGUGUAAUCCAAACGUCUUUAGCAUGACAAAUAAAAUAUAUUAUAGUACUGCAUAUGAAAGUUAAAGUUAAGUCAUCAAAUGGUAUAGUGAGUCAUAGUGAGUCAUGGUAUAGUGAGUCAUAGUGAAUCAUGUCAUAGUGAGUCAUUGUAUAGUGAGUCAUGGUAUAGUGAGUCAUUGUAUAUCAUUGUAUAGUGAGUCAUAGUGAGUCAUGGUAUAGUGAGUCAUUGUAUAGUGAGUCAUAGUGAGUCAUUGUAUAGUGAGUCAUAGUGAUUCAUUGUAUAGUGAGUCAUUGUAUAGUGAGUCAUAGUGAGUCAUGGUACAGUGAGUCAUUGCAUAGUGAGUCAUAGUGAGUCAUGGUAUAGUGAGUCAUUGUAUAGUGAGUCAUGUGAGUCAUUGUAUAGUGAGUCAUAGUGAGUCAUUGUAUAGUGAGUCAUAGUGAGUCAUGGUAUAGUGAGUCAUUGUAUAGUGAGUCAUAGUGAGUCAUUGCAUAGUGAGUCAUAGUGAGUCAUGGUAUAGUGAGUCAUUGUAUAGUGAGUCAUGUGAGUCAUGGUAUAGUGAGUCAUAGUGAGUCAUUGUAUAGUGAGUCAUAGUAGUCAAGCUCUGUUU